UAACCUGCCCAAGAGAUCGGGAUAACACCUGGAAACAGAUGCUAAUACCGGAUAACAACAGAUGAUGCCUAUCAACUGUUUAAAAGAUGGUUCUGCUAUCACUCUUGGAUAGACCUGCGGUGCAUUAGCUAGUUGGUAGGGUAACGGCCUACCAAGGCGAUGAUGCAUAGCCGAGUUGAGAGACUGAUCGGCCACAUUGGGACUGAGACACGGCCCAAACUCCUACGGGAGGCAGCAGUU
RNAcentral lists this ribosomal RNA (240 nucleotides) under uncultured Lactobacillus sp. RNAcentral's name for it is "partial 16S ribosomal RNA". It matches the Rfam family "Bacterial small subunit ribosomal RNA", at positions 122 to 355 of the family's 1533-position model. Lineage: Bacteria; Bacillati; Bacillota; Bacilli; Lactobacillales; Lactobacillaceae. The record is from RNAcentral.